Molecule: transfer RNA, 89 nt
Filed under: Candidatus Dojkabacteria bacterium
Lineage: Bacteria
Description: tRNA-Ser
Rfam family: tRNA
About the family: Transfer RNA (tRNA) molecules are approximately 80 nucleotides in length. Their secondary structure includes four short double-helical elements and three loops (D, anti-codon, and T loops).
Source: RNAcentral
GGAGGGAUGCCUGAGUGGUCGAAAGGGGAGCACUCGAAAUGCUUUAUUCCAUUUAUUUGGAAUCGGGGGUUCGAAUCCCUCUCCCUCCG